AUAUUAUUAAGGGGAGGAAAAGAAACUAACAAGGAUUCCCCUAGUAACGGCGAGUGAAGCGGGAAGAGCUCAAAUUGAAAAUCGGCAACCCCUGCGGGUUGUCGAAUUGUAGCCUAGAGACGUAUUGUCAGCGUGUGACCCGGGUAUAAAUCUUUUGAAACAAGGUAUCAUAGAGGGUGAGAAUCCCGUCUUUGACCUGGAGUUCGCCGCGUACGACGUACGUUCGUAGAGUCGAGUUGCUUGGGAUUGCAGCUCUAAGUGGGUGGUAAAUUCCAUCUAAAGCUAAAUAUUGGCGAGAGACCGAUAGCGCACAAGUA
Molecule: ribosomal RNA, 317 nt
Filed under: uncultured eukaryote
Lineage: Eukaryota
Description: partial large subunit ribosomal RNA
Rfam family: Eukaryotic large subunit ribosomal RNA
Source: RNAcentral